CAGUCGACGGUAGCACAGAGAGCUUGCUCUCGGGUGACGAGUGGCGGACGGGUGAGUAAUGUCUGGGAAACUGCCUGAUGGAGGGGGAUAACUACUGGAAACGGUAGCUAAUACCGCAUAACGUCGCAAGACCAAAGAGGGGGACCUUCGGGCCUCUUGCCAUCAGAUGUGCCCAGAUGGGAUUAGCUAGUAGGUGGGGUAACGGCUCACCUAGGCGACGAUCCCUAGCUGGUCUGAGAGGAUGACCAGCCACACUGGAACUGAGACACGGUCCAGACUCCUACGGGAGGCAGCAGUGGGGAAUAUUGCACAAUGGGCGCAAGCCUGAUGCAGCCAUGCCGCGUGUAUGAAGAAGGCCUUCGGGUUGUAAAGUACUUUCAGCGGGGAGGAAGGUGUUGUGGUUAAUAACCGCAGCAAUUGACGUUACCCGCAGAAGAAGCACCGGCUAACUCCGUGCCAGCAGCCGCGGUAAUACGGAGGGUGCAAGCGUUAAUCGGAAUUACUGGGCGUAAAGCGCACGCAGGCGGUCUGUCAAGUCGGAUGUGAAAUCCCCGGGCUCAACCUGGGAACUGCAUUCGAAACUGGCAGGCUAGAGUCUUGUAGAGGGGGGUAGAAUUCCAGGUGUAGCG
This 629-nucleotide ribosomal RNA is filed under the name Enterobacter cloacae. Its description in RNAcentral is "bacterial SSU rRNA". It matches the Rfam family "Bacterial small subunit ribosomal RNA", at positions 59 to 680 of the family's 1533-position model. Lineage: Bacteria; Pseudomonadati; Pseudomonadota; Gammaproteobacteria; Enterobacterales; Enterobacteriaceae. The record is from RNAcentral.